AACGAACGCUGGCGGCAUGCCUAACACAUGCAAGUCGAACGGGACCUUCGGGUUUAGUGGCGCACGGGUGCGUAACGCGUUGGAACCUGCCUUUAGGUUCGGAAUAACUCCCCGGAAGGGGUGCUAAUACCGGAUAAUGUCUUCCGACCAAAGAUUUAUCGCCUUUGGAUGGGCCCGCGUUGUAUUAGCUAGUUGGUAGGGUAAAAGCCUAUCAAGGCUACGAUCCAUAGCUGGUCUGAGAGGAUGAUCAGCCACACUGGUACUGAGACACGGCCCAGACUCCUACGGGAGGCAGCAGUGGGGAAUAUUGGAAAAUGGGCGAAAGCCUGAUGCAGCAAUGCCGCGUGAGUGAUGAAGGCCUUAGGGUUGUAAAGCUAUUUUACACGGGAUGAUAAUGACGGUACCGGGAGAAUAAGCUCCGGCUAACUCCGUG
Molecule: ribosomal RNA, 433 nt
Filed under: uncultured bacterium
Lineage: Bacteria
Description: partial 16S ribosomal RNA
Rfam family: Bacterial small subunit ribosomal RNA
Source: RNAcentral